UUGAUUAUACCAGCCGCUCUGGAAUGCAUCAUCAGACGCCAGUGCUGCCUUGACGCCUUCCAGGAAUACCUGUGCUCAUUCAUCCAAGGUAAUGUUCCAGUUAUUAUAGCUUACUUGGUUGUGAGGACUUGUUCUAGCGGAUCCGCAGAAUGGUAGAAUCCUUUCGACCAUUUUCGGAUAGCUGACAGCCCAUUGAAAUGUUUGGCCAGCUCCCAUUGACCAUCCCAGUACCAGCUUGAGCGUUUGGAUGCCGAACUCCUCGGUUACGAGUUUAUGCUGGGCACGGACGUUGUCUUGCACUCUCACCUACAUACACGGACGACAGGACAGGUACUGUGUUGCUUUGUGAGGAGCUUCUUACGUUGGGGAAUCUGGCUUUGUCAUAGGGUGGCGCAGAGUUGCUUGGAGAAGUCGAGAGCCCAUUCCCAAGCAUGUUUGGAACGAUGAUGAAGUAUUUGGAGGGGUCAAGUCCCA
RNAcentral lists this long non-coding RNA (474 nucleotides) under Selaginella moellendorffii. RNAcentral's name for it is "long non-coding RNA (SMOE_LNC002034)". The record is from RNAcentral. Lineage: Eukaryota; Viridiplantae; Streptophyta; Lycopodiopsida; Selaginellales; Selaginellaceae.